Hordeum vulgare subsp. vulgare (domesticated barley) is the source of this 13524-nucleotide long non-coding RNA. RefSeq lists it as uncharacterized. NCBI's taxonomy places the organism in Eukaryota, Viridiplantae, Streptophyta, Magnoliopsida, Poales, Poaceae. The transcript has 2 exons. The record is from RefSeq and is a predicted model, not a curated record.
CCCGCCCCGCCUCCCCCGUCCAUUCCGAUUCCUCCGCCUCCCCGGUGGAUCGAUGCUCUGUCCCGGUCGGUCUCGGCCGGCGCACAUGUGCCUCGCUAGUCCGUUUGGUGGUUUGUCUAGUCUCCUACCACCGGUAUAUUUUCCGCAUGCCGCAUGGAUUUUCCCUUGGGAUUCGAUUGGCCCGAUGAUGAUGGAUAGGUAGACCCGCUCAGAUCUGAGCUCGAAAAGCGGUCAGGAAUGUCUACUGCGGCGGCGCUGGCUUCUCUGUUCUGGGCGCCGAGGCCUGUGUCCGGGCCAGCCCUUGCUUCCGCUGCACUGGAGCUCUGUCACUGGCCUAGAGCCGGCCCUUGUUGAGGCCUACUCCUCCUCCUCCUCGCCGUCGUCGCCGUCGCACCUUUGCCAUGGCCUCGCUUCCCCUCGCCUCUUCUUUCGGUUCACCCGGACACGCCCCCAGUGCCAGCUUUGGAGCCCGCCGCCUGCAUUAGCCUACGACGAAACUGAGAUCUGAGGGCCAUGUUGUUUGGUGCUUUCUUGUGGUUUGAUGCUUUAUUCUGAUUGAUCUCGCCAUAGAUUUACUUUCCCGGUUUGUUUUGUGCACUUGCAGUGUAAUACCAUGUUUUCGCUUGCUGCAUGGAUUUUCCUUUCUAUUGGCCUGAUGAUGAUUAGGGUGAGAGGCCCAUGUGGGGAUGGAUGGAUGGAUAGGUCGAUUGAUCGGCUCAGGUUUAAGCUUGAGAUGGGAUUAGCCCUUGCAUUCGCAAGCUUGAAGCCCCUGAAAUGGCUAAUACAGCGCCGGCCUUCUCUGUUCUAGGCGCUGAGGCAUGUGUGCGUGGGUUGGCCGUUGCUUUUGCUCAAGCUCCGCCACUGACUGAUGGGCUAGUUCCCUUCUUCCUUCCUUCCUCCUCUUCCUACCAGCUUACGGGUCACCGUGGUCACACAUCUGUCGCUGCCGUCGUGGGCGUUGUCAUGACCACCGCCAUCGCCUGGUCUUCUCUAUUGGUCCACCCAGACAUGUCACAGUGCCAGCUUUGAAGCCCGCUGCAUUAGCCUACGAUGAACCUGAAAUCUGAGGGCCAUGUUGUAAUACGAAUUCUCAGGAUUUUCGUUUGAAUCGAAUUCUUUUGCGUGGACUCACUCUAAAACAACCAGCUUGCACAUGGUCUUAUACUGUUGUGCAGUGCGCAAUGGUGGAACCCGAACUCACAAUGUGUGAAGCAGUGCUUUGCCUUUGGGCCAUGCAUGUGCGCCUGCCUGUCUUUGCCGAGAUCUGGUCUAGUGUUUUGGUAAGAUAAUUAACUGGCCGCACUUAAUCAGCCACAACCAUCCCUCAUGUGUUAGAUAUGAUGGCGUAGGAUCACCCUGACAGAUGUUACCCUAUAUUCUUGUUUUCGUUCCUUUUUCCUUAUUCUGUGUCAUGUGUCGUUUGAAUAACUGUUCAUUUGCCAUUCUUGAAUGCAGGUUGGCUCUUUUGUACUACCUCCGUCACGGUUUAGAAGGCACGGUUAAGUUUGCGUGCAUUUCCACAACACACAAGGUUUAAGGCGCAUUGCAUUUACUCCUAGCAGCUAAUUAGUACUCCAUUGUACUACUUCUAUAUGCAUGCGUAGUGUGAAUACAAUUUUUCAACUCAUUUUACAGCCAAUCAAUAACCACCUAGGUUCUAGAGAAUUUCCAUGCACGCCUUCUAAACUGUGACGGAGGGAGUAGGAAAUAUUGACAUGCUUUUGCUACAGAAAUAGUGUUUAAAAAACUUCUUAUUUGUUUUCUGUUUUUUCUUUCAGUUAGUUUUCUUACCAGUUCAACCUCAUAUUAUAUCUUCCAUUUAAUAAGAUCCUAACCGUGAACUUUCCGCUUUGCACCAAAAUUUCUCUUUUGAGUUUUUCACUAUAUAACAUGUUUUUUUUUGGGAUGGUGGUUACAAGCGUAUUGCCUAAUGAUUAAAACUAAUGUGAAGAGAUGGCACGUGACAUGAUCAUGUUAACCCUUCAUUUGCACUGCUAUCUCUUAUGCUUAGAUUUUGCAUUAUUGCCAUUUGGCUUCUUCAACCUUUGAGUUUGCUUCAGACCGUGGUCAGGUUUGUUCUGUUAAGUUAUGUUUCUGUUAUCUUUUUGUUUGUUGCUUUGUUUUGCUUUGGCUAUUUGUCUGAACCCUUCAUUUGCACUUAGUUUCUAUUGUGACAGAAUCCUGAUGUUUCAUUUUGUUCUUGAUGGUGGAUAGGAUCAUAUAAGUUUUCUCUUUUAUACAUUGCCCAAUGAUGAAAAUUGAAAAUGUAGAGAUGGCACUUGGACAUGAUCGUCUCCUCCCUGUCCCCCUUCUCCUCUCUCUCUCUCUCUCUCUCUCUCUCUCUCUCUCUCUCUGCGUGGAUGUGUAAUGGCACAUGCAGUAGCAACAGCAACAACAACAACAACAGCAGCAGCAGCAACAACAACAGCAGUUGAUACCAUAUCAAUCUUUCACAUGCCUUAUGGACUAAAGGGAGAUCAUUUCUUGUGUCAUCAAUGAAUGCUACAUCUAUGGCACCUGAGGGCAUGAUGUUUCUUCACCUUACACUAAUAACCGGCAAAAUUUGCAUGGAUACAUUCAUUUUCAGUUUCAUCUUCCUUCAAUAGCAUUGCUGUCUCUUACGUUCGAAUUUUGCAUCAUUUUCGCUUUGUUUCAUCAUUUUUGUGCAUUUGUUGUGGUUCCAUCUGAUUAUGAUUAAGUUUGCUCUGUUGAUUUCUUCAUUACUUUUGUAGUACCUUCUUAGCUUGUUGUUUUGCUUUUCACUUCAUCGGAGGAAAAUCUUUGGUGUUUCAUGAUUUAUCACGACUGACCACUGUUGUAAAUCAGCAUGCAUUUGAGUUCCGAUCUCGAAGUGGUAGCCCUUUACCAGCGUGAAGGUUUUGAAAUGGCCAAAGCAUUGUCGGUUUCUGUCUGUAAUGUUUAUUAGUGGUUUUUAGUUGGUAUUUUGGUUAUGGUUUGUGCUUCAAAAUUGUGCAUGAAGUCCUGAUACUGAUCCUAUACACCAAUUAGUAAUGCCUUCUACGGUGUAUUGCCCAUUGAUGAAGACUAAUAUGUAGAUAUGGCACAUUACAUGGUCCCUCACUCCCUCCCUCCCUCGAUCUCGGUAUAAAUGUACUUAGGUAAUCUGUUGGUGAUUUGUAGUCUGCUACUAGCAGUAUAUUUUUCACAUGCUGCAUGGAUUUUCCUUUGGAUUGGCCCGAUGAUGAUCAGGCUGAAACCCCCCAAUGCAGGGAUGUGGAUGGAUGGCUAGAUAGAUAGAUCAGCUCAGAUCUGAGCUUGGAAAGCGAUCAGAAAUGGCUAAUGCGGCGCUGUAUUCUCUGUUCUGGGCGCAGCUUUGCCACUGACCUAGGGGGCCGACCCUUGUUGAGGUCUACCUCUCCUUCCUUCUCCUCCUUGUUGUCGUCGCCGUCGCACUUUCACCAUGGCCUCGCCUCUUCUUUUGGUUCACCCAGACAUGCCCCCGUGCUGCCAGCUUUGUGGCCCGCUGCAUUAGCCUGCGAUGAAACUGAAAUCUGAGGGCCAUGUUGUGAUACAAAAUUCUCGGUAUUUUCGUCUGAAUCGAACUCUUUUGCACGGUCACACUGUAAAACAGACUGCUUAUGCACAUUGUGUUAUUUUGUAGUGUAGUAUGCAAUGGUGGAAUGGAAUGCCAUCUUACAAUGUGUGGAGCACUCCUAGGCUAGUGAUUUGUAGGAUAAUUAAUCGAUUGCACGGAAUCGCCCACGCUAAUCUCCUAUGUUUAUUUUCCUCUUUGUUUCCUUCGGCUUUCUGGUGGUUUGAUGCUUUGUUCUGAUUGAUCUCGGCAUAGAUUACUUAUGUGGGUUGUUUUGUGCGUUUGUAGUGUAUGCUAUGUUUUCGCUUGUUACAUGGACUUUCCUUUCUCUUGGCCUGAUGAUGAUUAUGGUGAAAGGCCCAUUGCGGGGAUGGAUAGAUAGCUCGAUCGAUCGGCUCAGGUUUAAGCUUUAAAUGGGAUCUCAGCCGUUGCAUUCGCAAGGUUGAGGCCCCUGAAAUGGCUAAUGCAGCGCCGACCUUCUCUGUUCUAGGCGCUGGGGCAUGUGUGCUUGGGUUAGCCGUUGCUUUUGCUCAAGCUCCGCCACUGACUGAUGGGCUGGUUCCCUUCUUCCUUCUCUUCCUACCAGCUCACGUGUCACAAUGGUGACACAGCUGUCGCUGCCGUUUCGUCGUAGUCACCACCACCACCACCACCAUCUCCUGGUCUUCUCUAUUGGUCCACCCAGACACAUUACAGUGCCAGCUUUGAAACCCUCUGCAUUAGCCUAUGAUGUACCUGAAAUCUGAAGGCCAUGUUGUAAUACAAAUUCUCGGGAUUUUCAUAUGAAUUGAACUCUUUUGUGUGGACUCACUGUUAAACAGCCAGCUUGCACAUGGUGUUGUACUGUUGUGCAGUGCGCAAUGGUGGAAUCUGAUCUCACAAUGUGCGAAGCAGUGCUUUGCGUUUGGGCCAUGCAUGUGCGCCUGCCUGUCUUUGCCGAGAUCUGGGCUAGUGUUUUGGUAAGAUAAUUAACUGGCUUCAUUUGCACUGCUAUCUCUUAUGCUUUGAUUUUGCAUUAUUGCCAUUUGGCUUCUUCAACCUUUUGAAUUUGCUUCAGAUCGUGGACAGGUUUGUUCUGUUAAGUUGUUCAUUAUGUUUCUGUUAUCUUUUUGUUUGUUGCUUUGUUUUGCUUUGGUUAUUUGGACCGAACCCUUCAUUUGCACUUAAUUUCUAUUGUGACAGAAUCCUGAUGUUUCAUUUUGUUCUUGAUGGUGGAUAGGAUCAUAUAAAUUCUCUUCUAUACAUUGCCCAAUGAUGAAAACUGAAAAUGUAGAGAUGGCACUUGGACAUGAUCCUCUCCUCCCUGUCCUCCUCCUCGUCCUCUCUCUCUCUCUCUCUCUCUCUCUCUCUCUGCGUAGAUGUGUAAUGGCAGAUGCAGCAGCAGCAACAGCAACAGCAGUUGACACCAGAUCAAUCUUUCACAUGCCUUAUGGACAAAAGGGAGAUAAUUUCUUGCGCCAUCAAUGAAUUCUACACCUAUGGCACCUGAGGGCAUGAUGUUUCUUUACCUUACACUAAUAACCAGCAAAAUUUGCAUGGAUACAUUUAUUUUCAGUUUCAUCUCAAUAGCAUUGCUGUCAGAUUUUGCAUUAUUUUCGCUUUGGUUCAUCAUUUUUGUGCAUUUGCUGUGGUUCCAUCUGAUCAUGAUUAAGUUUGCUCUGUUGAUUUCCUCAUUACUUUUGUAGUACCUUCUUAGCUUGUUGUUUUGCUUUUCACCUCAGCGGAGAAAAAUCUUUUGUUGUUUCAUGAUUUAUCACGACUGAUCGCUGUUGUAAAACAGCAUGCAUUUGAGUUCCCAUCUCGAAGAGGUCCUUUACCAGGUUGAAGUUUUUGAAAUGGCCAAAGCAUUGUUGGUUUCUGUCUGUAAUGUUUAUUAGUGGUUUUUAGUUAGUAUUUUUGUUAUGAUUUGCUUCAAAAUUGUCCAUGAAGUCCUGAUACUGGUUCUAUACACCAAUUAGUAAUGCCUCCUACGGUGUAUUGCCCAAUGAUGAAGACUAAUAUGUAGAGAUGGCUCCCCCAACCCCCCAUCUCUCUGAGUACGUGCACGUGCUGACAGCAGAUAUAACUUUGUGGAUGGAUCUAAGAUCAUUAUUUGCGCUAUCAGUGAAUCGGACAUAUAUGAACAACUGAAGACACAAUUUGUUUGUUAUGUUUCUAGUAUCCUUUUUGUUGUUGUUUGCCUUCACUUUGGCUAUUUGAUCUGAUCGAUGUUAGUAGUAGUUUUGUUUUCUUUGUUUAUUUUGUAGUACAGUUUUAUUGCUAUAUAUUUUGCUUGCUACUUGGAUUUGCCCUUGGCCCAAUGAUGAAUACGAUGGAGCCCUCAUGGAUGGAUCGUCUUAGAUUUGUGCUCCAAACAGGGCCAACUGUUGCAUUCGCAAAGUUGAAGCCCCUGAAAAUGGCUAAUGCAGCACCGUCUUCUCUGUUCUGGGUGCUGAGGCAUGUGUCUUGGGUCUACCGUUGCUUGUGCUGAAGCUUUGGCACUGACUCUGGGCCAGGCAAAAGGCGCUCUUCUUCUUCUUCUUCUUCUUCACUCGGUUGUUGUUGUCUCUGGCAACUCAUGUGCUAUACCGGUGAACCAAGGCACGCCCAAGUGCCAGCUUUGAAGCCUGCUGCAUUAGCCUGUGAUGAGACUGACAUCUGAGGGUCAUAUUUUAAUACAACCUUGUUGGUAUUUUCAAUGGAAUCGUACUCUUUUGCAUGUGCUCACUGCCUAACAGCCAGUGUGCACUCAUGCUGUCAUGGUUUGACACUGUCAUGGAGAUGCCCAAUGGUGUAAUUGGGCAGGCAUGCUUUGCUUCUCUUAUUUCACUAUCAUGGUAUAUUAGCUAAGGUUUAGGCCAGUGUUUUGAAUAAAGGUAUGUGCUUCAUGGUGCUGAACUGUAUAUGCGGUUUGCUAGCACUUUCCAUCUGUUCGGACUUUUGGUUGCGUUGGCUAGUGCUGGAUCACUGUUCCACAAUCAAUGCCACAAAAUCACUCGCAUCCCCCUUCCAUAUUUUUAGAUAUGAUGGCAGAGGAUCACACUCUGACAGAUCAUACUAGUUCAUCUGAGGAUAGUUUUUCAUACAUCCAUUCUUUUUAUUUCUUUGUGCUAUUAUUAUUGUUGUGUCACGUGUCAUAUGUAUCAUAAACAUUUCAUUAUCCAUUCUAAGAUGCAGGUUGGUUCUUCUAUGUAGUAAACGCUAUAUCCGCAUUUAGUCAUCAAAUGUCUUGUCUAUGUUUGUUGAUUUUCUUUCUGCUUUAUUAUCAGUUUGUGUUUUUUCCUGUGUCUCUUUGCGAAACCUCAUAUUACACCUUGACCUAACUGAUAUCCCAAUUUUGGGCAUUUGGCUUGCCCUUAAUUUCUAUUGUGACAGAAUCCUGAUGUUUCAUUUUUGUUCUUGAUGGUGGAUAGAAUCAUAUAAGUGUUGGCUUCUAGUAUAAUGCAUCACCCAAUGAUGAAAACAGGAAAUGUAGAGAUGGCACUUGGACAUGAUCCUCUCCUCCCCCCUCCCUCCUCUCUCUCUCUCUCUCUCUCUCUCUCUCUCUCUCUCUCUCUCUCUCUCUCUCUCUGCAUGGAUGCGUAAUGGUACAUGCAGCAGCAGUAGCAGUAGCAGUUCACAACAGAUCUUUCACAUGCCUUAUGGACAAAAGGGAGAUCAUAUCUUGUGCCAUCAAUGAAUGCCUACAUCUAUGGCACCUGAGGGCAUGAUGUUUUUUUUUCAUACCUUGGUAAUUAGUGUCAAAAUUUGCAUGGAUAUAUUUAGUUUCAGUUUCAUCUUCCAGAUUGUCUCUGUUGGCUUGAUGGGGACCCUUCACUAGCAUUGUUGUCUCUUAUGUUCAGAUUUUGCAUCAUUUUCGCUUUGCUUCAUCAUUUUUUUGCUGGGGUUUCGUCUGAUUAUGAUUAAGUUUGCUCCGUUGAUUUUUCAUUACUUUUAUAGCACUCACUCCGUCCCAAAAUAAGUGUGGCUGAUUUAGUAAAAAGUUGUACUAAAUCAGCGACACUUACUUUGAGACGGAAGGAGUAUCUUUUUAGCUUGUUUUGCAUUUCACCUCAGCAGAGGAAAAUAUAUAGUGUUUCAUGAUUUAUCACGAGUGAUCGCUGUUGUAAAUCAGCUUGCAUUUGAGUUCCAGUCUCGAAGUGGUAGCUCUUUACCCAGGGUGAUGGUUUUGAAGUGGCCAAAGCAUUGUUGGUUUCUCUCUGUAAUGUUUAUUAGUGGUUUUGGUUGUGACUUGGUACUUCAAAAUUUUCCAUGAAGUGCUGAUACCGGUUCUAUACACCAAGACUAGUCUUUUGGAUGGUGGUUAGAAGUAUAGCCCAAUGAUGAAAACUAAUACGUAGAGAUGACACAUGACAUGCCCCCUCCCCCCCUGAGUGUCCACCUGUGUGUGCGCGCGCGCGUGCGUGUGUUGACAGCAGAUUUACCUUUGUGGAUGAAUUUAAGAUCAUCCCUUGUGCCAUCAGCGAAUGCUACAUAUAUGAGCAACUGAAGGCGCAUGCUUCAUUUUUGCCAUCUUACACAAAUUAUGGGUAAACCUUUUUUAAUAUAUUUAUUUUUGGUCUCAACUUCCAGAUCUGUAUAUAUUGGCUUGAUGGAAAUCCUUCAUUUGCAUUCCUGUCUCUUAUGUUUAGAUUUUGCAUUAUUGCCAUUUGGCUUCUUCAGUUUUGUAAAUUUGUUUGUUUCAUCUGGGCAUCGUCAUUGUUUGUUAUGUUUCUAGUAUCUUUUUUGUUGUUGUUUGCCUUCGCUUUGGCUAUUUGAUCUGAUUGAUCUUGGUAUAGUUUUAUUUUCUUGGUUUAUUUUGUAGUAAAAUUUUUACUGCUAUAUAUUUUGCAUGUUACUUGGAUUUGCACUUGGCCCCAUGAUGAUUAUGAUGGAGCCUCCAUGCAUGGGUGGAUUGGCUUAGUUUUGAGCUCCAAACAGGCCCAGCCACUGCAUUCACAAAGUUGAGGCCCCUGAAAUGGCUAAUGCAGCACUGUCUGCUCUGUUCUGGCCGCUGAGGCAUGUGUCUUGGGUCAGCUGUUGCUUCAGCUGAAGCUUUGCCACUGACUGAUGAGCCGUCCCAUACUGCCUGUCCAUCUCUCCCCCUUCCUUCCCUUCCUUCUGGCUCAUGUGUCACUGUGGUGACACCGCCUGCCCUCGUUGCCGUCGCCGUCGUCGUUGCCAUCAUCUUGUGUCCUCUAUCUGGCUACCCAGACACGCCCAAGUACCAGCUUUGGAGCUCGCUGCCUGCAUUAGCCUAUGAUGAAACUGAAAUUUGAGGGCAAUGUUGUAAUACAGAAUUCUCCAUCUGAAUUGAACUUUUUUGCACGGGCUCACUUUCAAAACAGCCAGCUUUCUCAUGUAUGCACAAUGGUGGAAUGCCACCUUGCAAUUUGUGGAGCAGUCCAUGCGGGCAUGUAUACGCUGACUGCCUGUCUUCGUCAAUAUCUAGGCUAUUGCACUGGUAAGAUAAUUAUUUGAUAUCACUGAAUCACCCACACCCAUACCAGAUGUGUUAGAUAUGAUGUCAUAGUAUCACAUCUGACAGAUGUGACCAUUUCAACCAAGGAUAAUUUUUUGUAUAUUUAUAUUCUUGAUUUUGUUUCUUUUACGCUAUUUUGUGUCAUGUGUCAUCAAGAACUGUUCAUUUUCCAUUCUCAACUGCAGGUUGGCUCUUUUGUAGUAAAUAUGGCAUACUUUUAGUACAGAUUUAGUGGCGGGGCAUAUUUUAUAUGUGUCCUGCUUUUCUUUCUUUUUUCUUAGCAGUUUAACUUCAUAUUACAUCUUCCCCAUUUAAGAGCCUAAUUGUGAACUUAGGUCUUUGCGCAAAAAUUUCUAUUUUGACUACAAUGAUGAUUUAUUUUGUUUUGGAUGGUUCUUAGAAGUAUUACCUUCUAGAAUUUAUUGCCCAAUGAUGAAAACAAGUACUAGUAUGUGUGUGUGUGCUCACAGCUGAUUACAUUUGUUUAUGCCCUUAUGGAUGAAUUGAAGAUCGUCUCUCUGUCUUGUGCCAUCAAGCAAUGCUACAUGUUACAUACUCCCUCUGUCCCAAAAUAGCUGUCUCAACUUUGUACUAGCUCUAGUACAAAGUUGUAUUAAGUUUAAGACACUUAUUUUGGGACGGAGGGAGUAUAUGAAUUACUGAAGGCACAGGCUUCAUUGUCAUACCUUACACAAAUUACAGUAAACUUUUGUUUGAUACAUUGAUUUUCAAUUUAGUCUUGCAGAUCUGUAUAUAUUCGCUCAAUGGAAACCCUUCAUUUGCUUAGAUUUUGCAUUAUCACCACUUGGCUUCUUCAAUUUUGUGAUUUUGCUUGUUUAAUCUGGUCAAGGUCAGGUUGGUUCUUCUGUAUUAAAUGUAACAUGCUACAGAUUCAGUGAUAAAAUGUCUUGUCUAUGCUUGUUGAUUUUCUUUGUGCUUCGUUAUCAGUUUUCCUAUGCCUCUUUAUGAAACAUCAUAUUACACCUUGACACAAUUAAUAUCCCAAUUGUGAACCUCUGGCCUGCACUAAAUUUCUACCUUCCCUCCCUCCAUCCUUUCCUCUCUCCCUCGUAAUGGUACAUGCAGCAGCAGCUCAUACCAGAUCAAUUUUUCACAUGCCUUAUGGACAAACGGGAGAUCAUUUCUUGUGCCAUCAAUGAAUGCUACUGCUACAUUUAUGGCACCUGAGGGCAUGGUGUUUCUUUUUCAUACCUUACACUAAUUACCGGCAAAAUCUGCAUGCAUAUAUUUGUUUUUGGUUUCAUCGUCCAAAUCCGUUGCUAAUCUAAAUUGGAUAUUCUAAAUAUAAGAGGAUGUGGUUGCAGACCUGUGUGUGUGUAAUGAAUUGGAUAAAAUUUAUUUUAAGGUGACUAAUCUAACUAUAGGAGGAUGCGGCUGCAGACCUUGGGAUGUUUUCCAGUUUAUUGUUGGAAAUAAUUGGUCGGCUGUUAAUUUGAAGAUGACAAGGACAUAACGAGGAGUAAAAUUUAAAGGCUUCUUUAGUGGAGGGGUACGAGAAGCCCGGAUCAGCCAAGGAAGCAGGCGAGAGCUGCCGUGUAUAGAUCGGUCGAGGGAGGAGUUUUGUGCUAUUUGUUUGGGAUCUGCUUUGAAGCAAGCACCAUUCCUUGCGGUCACACGUAAAUUUUAAGUCCUGUCUAUUAAUAGUUGGUUCAGAACAUUUGGAGCACAUUGACAAGUUUCAGUUUUAAGGAUUUAUGAUACCCCAUUUCCACUGUUUUUUCCCAAUAUGUCAAUGUGUGACGUGUCUAAACCUCAUUAUUUCCCUUUGUUAUAGUCAUUAUUCAGCAUGGAGCAGCACCGCUGCACACUUAUCAACAGAUCAUUCAUAUAAAACUUGAUAUAUUGCAGAGUUGUGCUUCCAUCAUUUCCUAAGAUAUACUGAAAUUAAAAGUUCAGCUUCUAUUUGUCGAGCUAGUUUCUUUUCACAGCCGACAGCAGAACCUAAAUAAUAUGUCCUUAAUAUGCUUUAAUUCCUAUAAUCAACGGCUACAGAUUUCUUCCAACACUGUAAUGCUAGGCUGGGGUUUGAGGUUUUCGCUACUGCUCUCAUCUUCGAUGCUAUCUCAAAUUACUAACAUUUUAAUAUUAUGUUUCACUUUCACCAGGAUUAGGUUCUUUUAUCCAUGUGGUGGUAUGAUUUAAAUGUGAGAACAGAGGCCAUGUAUUUACCACGACGUACAUCGUAGUUUGAGUUUUCAUCAAUGCUGUUGUUAUUUUUAUCCAUCUGUAGCGUCAUAUAAAUGAGUUCUGACAUGGUCAUUUCACAGAAUGAGUAAACACCAUGUGAAAGAUAUUAUAAAAGAGUUCUACCGAUCUCUGGUUGGUCGGUAGAAGCUUCACUCGCGACUGUGUGCCUUUCUGCCUUAAGAAGUUCUUUUCCUUGUCGAAGAACAGUAUAAUGUUUAUGGGCCAGUUUACAUGUGGUAGAAAAAUAUCAGUGAAUGUAGCAGAUAUUUUGCAUUGACUUUAAACCAGUCUCACAUGGAGAACAGUCUCAUUGUGUCAUAAGGUGAUAACUAUAAAGCCCACACCAUGUGAAAGAUAUUAUAAAUUUACUCUUCAUAGACUGUUUUCUACUACGAGCACUUGAUUGUCUUGUGACUGUAGCCAUGGAUAAAGUACAACUUAAUUUGAUGUGUAAUAUCAUGACGUGAGAUGUAGUUCUCCUGUUGAAUUAAUUCCAUUUAGAAUCACUGUGCUCGAGGUAGACAAGCAAAAUAGGUAGUGCAUUUACCACCAUGAUAUGAGCCAUUAGCCUUGCUUCCUAGAGAAAUAGAUAUAUGUUCCAAUGUCUUGGUGAGGUUUCUUGGUGGAUCGGAGCAAGCAACACUGCAACAGUACCAGAUGGUGUGGGUAUGUUUCAAAAUUUUCUGCAUUUUGAGGAUACACUUCCAUCCUUUAGGAAAUUAUUCUCUUGUUUAAGAUGUUUCAGUAUCAACUACUUUCAUCUUUCGAUUUCCAUUUUAAUCCUGGUUCAGAGAGUGGCCUUUUUAUUCCUGUUAUUACACUUGAAUGCUAAAUUGCAAAGUGACACAUGAAUUGUUCUGAAGGACUGAUGGUGAUGUUUUCAUAUCGUCAUUCUUACUGGGUGGCUAUUGGCUCGGUCAUUUUUGUAAUCAUGAAAUGUUGCCAGAUGCUGGACAUGCAUAUCAUCCUAAUUAUUUCCAUGGUUUAUUUAAUAGAACACUAAGUUAUUUUAAAUAGAGGAAACAUAUUUCUCAUCGUCUAUUACUUAAAGAGUGAGUUUUAUCACAUAGCCCUUUGUGGGUAAAGAUACAAGAGUUUACACCCCAAUCUCUUGCUGUUUGUUGCAUCAAGUUCUUCUGUGCCCAUGGGCGCUCAUUUGCUGACAACCCAUUUGUUCUAUAUGGUUGUUGACAAAAGGUGGUUAUAUCUGCACUGCCAUUGUUCAUGAAAAUUAUUGUUAUAGCAGGUCCUAAUAUUUGACAUGGAUCCUUUAUAUUCUGAAAACAUGUGUUGUUUGUCCUUUCAAUAACUAACUUAAAUAUUUGAAUUAUGCAGAGUGUGAGAAAUUAGUGAUGUCAACUUUCUGAUAGGGAAAAAAGGAAAACAUGUGCUUCUGUUAUAUGCCGGAAGAUUGUGCUUAAUGGGAGAGCAUGAAUGUUUCAUUAAGCUGCUUUGGCCCCAGGUGUGUUCCAUAUUCGCAUUGUUCCAUUUGCGACUAUCUUACUAUAUGCCACCUAAGAUUUGGUUGAUAUUCUACGCAGGCAGAAUCUGGUGAUGCAGUACAACGUUUUCAUGUUUCGAUUUCCAUUUUAAUCGUGGUUCAGAUAGCGACCAGUUCAUAACGUGAGCUCUACUGUUGGAAUUCUAUCCUUCGGUGUUCCUUGGUUCCUCUGAUCAUUCCACUCGCUGAAAUGAGAGACAGGCCCGUAGUUAGUUUACUUAUGCCAUCAAUACUCAUAAAUGAGAGACAAGCUGGGGAAUCCUUUGUUACCUAAAGGUUAAUUAACUUUGUUCUUUUGUUUUUAUUGUUGUGUGAUACAUAUCCACCCUUCCCAAAGUUUUGUGUGGUAGCUGUAAGUUGGCAUGUUCCCAAGUGCUGAUGGACCCUAAAACCUGAAUGUUGUACUUGGUUUGUAAGGUCUUACAGUUUCAGUGCUUUAUUAUUUGCUCAUGGAGCUAUGGCUCUGUUACGUCGGGCUAAGGUUUGAUUUCUUGCAAGAGAAUGCCAAGGUGUAGAUGCAGACUCACUGAUCGAAUACUGGAAUAAGAAUGAUGAUCAAUGCUCUAAUGAAGCUGCAUGCUGUAGCAUUACUAUCAGGAUAUAUGGGCUAGGAACAUACUUUUUCCACAGCGGGUUAGCCAAGCGUGGUUUUCAGGUGAAGUUGCCUAUUAGUUUUUUCAGUUUUCUUGUGUCGAUUUCUCUUCUACUGUAAAACAAAGGUUCACAGUUAGUAUUCCCCUGAUCCAAGAGUUCUUUUACUUGGAAGAUCGGAGCAUUAUCGAUAGAAGAAUUGAGUUUUAUAGCAAUCUAACUUCAGACUUC